UACGAAGGGGACUAGCGUUGUUCGGAAUCACUGGGCGUAAAGCGCACGUAGGCGGCUCGGCAAGUCGGAUGUGAAAUCCCUCGGCUCAACUAAGGAAGUGCAUCCGAAACUGCAGAGCUUGAGUACUUAAGAGGAUCGCGGAAUUCCCGGUGUAGAGGUGAAAUUCGUAGAUAUCGGGAGGAACACCAGUGGCGAAGGCGGCGAUCUGGGAAGAUACUGACGCUGAGGUGCGAAAGCGUGGGGAGCAAACAGG
Molecule: ribosomal RNA, 253 nt
Filed under: uncultured bacterium
Lineage: Bacteria
Description: partial 16S ribosomal RNA
Rfam family: Bacterial small subunit ribosomal RNA
Source: RNAcentral